GGGCUCACACAAGCGGUGGAGGAUGUGGCUUAAUUCGAUGAUACGCGAGGAACCUUACCAGGGCUUAAAUGUAACGGGACAGAUCUAGAGAUAGAUCCUUCUUCGGACUCAUUACAAGGUGCUGCAUGGUUGUCGUCAGCUCGUGCCGUGAGGUGUCAGGUUAAGUCCUAUAACGAGCGCAACCCCCAUCGUUAGUUGCCAACGAGUAAUGUCGGGAACUCUAACGAAACUGCCGGUGCAAACCGUGAGGAAGGUGGGGAUGACGUCAAAUCAUCACGGCCCUUACGUCCUGGGCUACACACGUGCUACAAUGGUCGGUACAGAGAGCAGCCACUACGCGAGUAGGAGCAAAUCUUCAAAGCCGAUCUCAGUUCGGAUCGGAGUCUGCAACUCGACUCCGUGAAGCUGGAAUCGCUAGUAA
RNAcentral lists this ribosomal RNA (421 nucleotides) under uncultured bacterium. RNAcentral describes it as "bacterial SSU rRNA". It matches the Rfam family "Bacterial small subunit ribosomal RNA", at positions 917 to 1341 of the family's 1533-position model. The record is from RNAcentral.